CAGGCCUAACACAUGCAAGUCGAACGCUAUAUUUAUAUAGAGUGGCGCACGGGUGAGUAACACGUGGGAAUCUGCCCUUCUGCCUGGGAUAACAGUUGGAAACGACUGCUAAUACCGGAUACGCCCUUCGGGGGAAAGGUCCGCCGCAGAAGGAGGAGCCCGCGCUCGAUUAGCUAGUUGGUGAGGUAAUGGCUCACCAAGGCAACGAUCGAUAGCUGGUCUGAGAGGAUGAUCAGCCACACUGGGACUGAGACACGGCCCAGACUCCUACGGGAGGCAGCAGUGGGGAAUAUUGGACAAUGGGGGCAACCCUGAUCCAGCAAUGCCGCGUGUGUGAUGAAGGCCUUAGGGUUGUAAAGCACUUUCACUGGUGAAGAUGAUGACGGUAACCAGAGAAGAAGCCCCGGCUAACUUCGUGCCAGCAGCCGCGGUAAUACGAAGGGGGCGAGCGUUGUUCGGAAUUACUGGGCGUAAAGGGAGCGCAGGCGGUUCAUUAAGUUAGGCGUGAAAGCCCCGGGCUCAACCUGGGAACUGCGCUUAAUACUGGUGAGCUAGAAAACAGGAGAGGGUAGUGGAAUUUCCAGUGUAGAGGUGAAAUUCGUAGAUAUUGGAAAGAACACCGGUGGCGAAAGCGGCUACCUGGCCUGAU
This 649-nucleotide ribosomal RNA is filed under the name uncultured bacterium. RNAcentral describes it as "bacterial SSU rRNA". It matches the Rfam family "Bacterial small subunit ribosomal RNA", at positions 43 to 738 of the family's 1533-position model. The record is from RNAcentral.